GGAAAUAAAAGGUUUUGGGGGUUGAGGGAGUAAAUUUUUGGGGGGAAAGUAAAUAGAGGGAGUUAAUUUUGUUUUUUUUUGGGGGGAAUGGUUUGGGGUAGAAGGGGGUGAGAUGAGAGAGGAGUAAAAGUUUAGGGGAAAGUCAAGGGGUUUGGGAGUUUGGAGUAACAAUGUAAAAUAUUAUAGUUUGGUAUUCGAUUUAUUCGAAUUAUUUGAGUUAUUCGAAUUUGAAAACCAAACUCGAUUCGAACUCAAAAUUUGGAAACAAAAUUCGAGUUGACUCGAAUAAUUCG
Molecule: long non-coding RNA, 293 nt
Filed under: Gossypium raimondii (Peruvian cotton)
Lineage: Eukaryota; Viridiplantae; Streptophyta; Magnoliopsida; Malvales; Malvaceae
Description: long non-coding RNA (GRAI_LNC002906)
Source: RNAcentral